UACGUAGGCAGCGAGCGUUGUUCGGAGUUACUGGGCGUAAAGGGUGUGUAGGCGGUCCUCUAAGUUCGGUGUGAAAUCUCCCGGCUCAACUGGGAGGGUGCGCCGGAAACUGGAGGGCUUCGAGUGCGGGAUGGGAGAGUGGAAUUCCUGGUGUAGCGGUGAAAUGCGUAGAUAUCAGGAGGAACACCGGUGGUGUAGACGGCUCUCUGGACCGUAACUGACGCUGAGACACGAAAGCGUGGGUAGCAAACAGG
Molecule: ribosomal RNA, 254 nt
Filed under: uncultured bacterium
Lineage: Bacteria
Description: partial 16S ribosomal RNA
Rfam family: Bacterial small subunit ribosomal RNA
Source: RNAcentral